GCAACAUCCACAGCUCCUCGCCGGCACAAAAAUAGGACCCUGUGGCAGGUUUGGUAGCAGAUCGUGGGCCCAGAGCAGGUCGCUCCGCUCCAGCUGGGUUCACGCAGGGAUGGGGAUGGAGGCAACCAUCCAGGAGACUCUAAGGACAACUGAAGGAUCCCCAAGAUUACGAUAUUACAAGUAUCAAAGCAAUGGAAUGGGUGCCUCUGAAAGCAAAUGGGAUCCCAGAACGAGCCCACGGGGCGCAUAAGCCACCGCUCAGCUCCAACCGUACCAAGCAGCAGGUCACGCUCGCCGAGCUUCGAAGUCCUUCCUGAGCAGAGCAGAGGGGACGGGAGAGAUGAUAAAAAGCAGAAGGUUCAUGCAGCGUCCAGCGUCUUGCGGGACAGUCCCCAGAGCCUGCCUGGACUGGCGAGUGUUGAACCCUUUGGUGAGACAACAGCCAGGAAGAUUUAGGGGUGUUGCAUCCCACAGGAUUCAGGCAUCUUAGCCUAUUUUUGCAUGUCUGGGCCUCAGUCCUUUGGGCCCAGUGUUUUUUUUUUUUUUUUUUUUUUUU
Rhea pennata is the source of this 556-nucleotide long non-coding RNA. RefSeq lists it as uncharacterized. The record is from RefSeq and is a predicted model, not a curated record. The transcript is spliced from 5 exons. NCBI's taxonomy places the organism in Eukaryota, Metazoa, Chordata, Aves, Rheiformes, Rheidae.